GGGACAUGGGGAGGCGGGUGGGAGGAGGUGUGUCCAAGUCCCUCCUACCUACCUGCCUGAAACCAGCUGUGGUAGAUGAGGCCAUAGAGAAGCUGCUGGAACAAGGACCUGCCGAGUGGGAGUGGCCAAGCACAGGACCCUCUCGAGCCCCAUGGAUGUCGCGUGGAGCCAGGCCCGGCAGCCACCACAGAGCUGGAAACCGCCACCUCUGAGGUGCACACCACUCACGUUCCGUCGGGAGAAGAAAGCCCCCGAAAUGUCAGCGGCAGAUGAAGGGCGCUGGAAAAUUUAAUCUCCCAACUUUCCCAACUAAUGUGACAUUUGGAUUCCGUUCUGAUAAGCUAUCAGCUGCGAACUUUUUUCCUUCCUUCUCUUUCCCCCACCCCCACCUUCUGGCUGGUAAUUUAAAAGUAAAUGGUCUAGAAAGAUCUCUAACUGUACCUCUGGCAAAGAUUAAAAAAACAA
This is a long non-coding RNA of Erinaceus europaeus (western European hedgehog), 465 nucleotides long. RefSeq lists it as uncharacterized. The record is from RefSeq and is a predicted model, not a curated record. Lineage: Eukaryota; Metazoa; Chordata; Mammalia; Eulipotyphla; Erinaceidae. The transcript has 2 exons.